Non-coding RNA from Drosophila melanogaster (fruit fly), 106 nucleotides. The record is from Rfam. NCBI's taxonomy places the organism in Eukaryota, Metazoa, Arthropoda, Insecta, Diptera, Drosophilidae.
GAGCGGCGAUGUGAGAAAUUUCCAGCACAAGCCCAAAUAAGCAAAGGUAAAUGGCAAAUGGGUGAAAUGCUCAAGAAAAUGAAGCCAACAAGGAGCAGCGCCAAAA